CCCGAAGCCCGUCUGCCAGCAAAAUAAUUUUGACCAAACAUAACGGACGGUCCUUCUAGUUCGGAGAUCAUAUGUUCCUCCAAAAUCCAGCAGAGAUUGUAAGGACAGUCCGGAACAGGGCAAGGCAAAGCAGCUGCUAGAACUCAGCCUCUGAGUACCUGACUACUGCUACAGGCACCAUAGGACCCGACUCACCACAAGGACUCUAAACCAGCACCAAGACAUCCAGCAUGCAGACACAGAAGAGACAUCC
Long non-coding RNA from Branchiostoma belcheri (Belcher's lancelet), 253 nucleotides. RefSeq lists it as uncharacterized. The transcript is spliced from 3 exons. The record is from RefSeq and is a predicted model, not a curated record. Lineage: Eukaryota; Metazoa; Chordata; Leptocardii; Amphioxiformes; Branchiostomatidae.